Molecule: ribosomal RNA, 469 nt
Filed under: uncultured bacterium
Lineage: Bacteria
Description: partial 16S ribosomal RNA
Rfam family: Bacterial small subunit ribosomal RNA
Source: RNAcentral
GACGAACGCUGGCGGCGUGCUUAACACAUGCAAGUCGAACGAUGAAGCCUUAGCUUGCUUUGGUGGAUUAGUGGCGAACGGGUGAGUAACACGUGAGCAACGUGCCCAGGACUCUGGAAUAACCGCGGGAAACCGUGGCUAAUACCGGAUAGGUGCCGAGGCCGCAUGGUCUUCGGUUGGAAAGUUUUUGCGGUUCUGGAUCGGCUCACGGCCUAUCAGCUUGUUGGUGGGGUAAUGGCCUACCAAGGCGACGACGGGUAGCCGGCCUGAGAGGGUGACCGGCCACACUGGGACUGAGACACGGCCCAGACUCCUACGGGAGGCAGCAGUGGGGAAUAUUGCACAAUGGGCGCAAGCCUGAUGCAGCGACGCCGCGUGGGGGAUGACGGCCUUCGGGUUGUAAACCUCUUUUAGUAGGGAAGAAGCGCAAGUGACGGUACCUGCAGAAAAAGCACCGGCUAACUACGUG